RNAcentral lists this small RNA (27 nucleotides) under Bombyx mori (domestic silkworm). Its description in RNAcentral is "ovarian small RNA-21793". Lineage: Eukaryota; Metazoa; Arthropoda; Insecta; Lepidoptera; Bombycidae. The record is from RNAcentral.
UAGAACUUUUACAUUGUUGGUAAUCAC